AGUGAACGCUGGCGGUAGGCCUAACACAUGCAAGUCGAACGGCAGCACAGUAAGAGCUUGCUCUUACGGGUGGCGAGUGGCGGACGGGUGAGGAAUACAUCGGAAUCUACUUUUUCGUGGGGGAUAACGUAGGGAAACUUACGCUAAUACCGCAUACGACCUACGGGUGAAAGCAGGAGAUCUUCGGACCUUGCGCGAUUGAGUGAGCCGAUGUCGGAUUAGCUAGUUGGCGGGGUAAAGGCCCACCAAGGCGACGAUCCGUAGCUGGUCUGAGAGGAUGAUCAGCCACACUGGAACUGAGACACGGUCCAGACUCCUACGGGAGGCAGCAGUGGGGAAUAGUGGACAAUGGGCGCAAGCCUGAUCCAGCCAUACCGCGUGGGUGAAGAAGGCCUUCGGGUUGUAAAGCCCUUUUGUUGGGAAAGAAAAGCAGCAGGUUAAUACCCCGCUGUUCUGACGGUACCCAAAGAAUAAGCACCGGCUAACUUCGUG
This 492-nucleotide ribosomal RNA is filed under the name uncultured bacterium. Its description in RNAcentral is "partial 16S ribosomal RNA". It matches the Rfam family "Bacterial small subunit ribosomal RNA", at positions 29 to 507 of the family's 1533-position model. The record is from RNAcentral.